AGGCCAAUACUGAUUACCAAAAGGAACCAUAAGAUGGUGUCCUAAUCGUUCAGAGUUUUUGAGAAAAAGAAGUGGCGGUGCCUCGGAUAUCACUUUAGGCUAUUUGCUUUCUCAAUGCUAAUACAAGUUCUUUGAAAUAUAUGACAAACUCUUCUCUUGAAUUUCUUUUUACUUACAAAUAGAAUUGCACUCUUUAAGUAAGUCAUAGAAAAUAAUACAAUCAUUUAAUAAGUCCCGUCUUUACAAAAUUAUAUCUUUUCAAAUAUCCUAUCACUGCAUAAUCUAGAAAGUCACAAGAAUGAGAAUGAAGCUAGUAUCACUGAAUCAACUAGAUCAUUGAUUGCAUUGAUAAAGAAUAGCUCUGGAAAAUGAGAAUAAAGAUACACUGUCAUUGG
Neofelis nebulosa (Clouded leopard) is the source of this 395-nucleotide long non-coding RNA. RefSeq lists it as uncharacterized. The transcript is spliced from 2 exons. NCBI's taxonomy places the organism in Eukaryota, Metazoa, Chordata, Mammalia, Carnivora, Felidae. The record is from RefSeq and is a predicted model, not a curated record.